This 330-nucleotide long non-coding RNA is filed under the name Elaeis guineensis (African oil palm). RNAcentral describes it as "long non-coding RNA (EGUI_LNC003164)". Lineage: Eukaryota; Viridiplantae; Streptophyta; Magnoliopsida; Arecales; Arecaceae. The record is from RNAcentral.
AGUGUGUUGGCCAUAGCUAAAAAAAAAAUAUAAACCUAUUAGUAUAUGAAUUAUUUUAAUCCUAAAGAUAUGGACUUUAAUCUAAAGAUUCUCUCACUAUUUUAUACGAAUUGAUAGUCUUUACCUCCAAUUCGAAGAAUUACAUUAAUUUUUUAGUAGGUACUAGAAUCCACACAGACUGCAUUCAGGUCCGAGUGUGACUCGAUCAACUCUAGUGCAUCCAUGGAUAGGUACAUAAUCAAUUAUUUUUUCAAACAACUUUCAGCAAUUAGAUUUUACCCCAGGCAUCUCUUCAACAGGCAUGUGGUGCCUCCACUGAAAAUUUUGAUU